This 253-nucleotide ribosomal RNA is filed under the name uncultured bacterium. RNAcentral's name for it is "partial 16S ribosomal RNA". It matches the Rfam family "Bacterial small subunit ribosomal RNA", at positions 524 to 776 of the family's 1533-position model. The record is from RNAcentral.
GACGAACUGUCCAAACGUUGUUCGGAUUCAUUGGGCGUAAAGGGCGCGUAGGCGGCGGGGUAAGUCGGGUGUGAAAUCUCAGAGCUCAACUCUGAAACUGCACUCGAUACUGCUCUGCUUGAGGACUGGAGAGGAGACUGGAAUUCACGGUGUAGCAGUGAAAUGCGUAGAUAUCGUGAGGAAGACCAGUGGCGAAGGCGGGUCUCUGGACAGUUCCUGACGCUGAGGCGCGAAGGCCAGGGGAGCAAACGGG